UAUCCUGGCUCAGGAUGAACGCUGGCGGCAUGCCUAACACAUGCAAGUCGAACGGGGUUUAUAUGACAGAACUCUCCGGAGGGAAGAUAUAUAAACCUAGUGGCGGACGGGUGAGUAACGCGUGGGCAACCUGCCCUGUACCGGGGGACAACAGCCAGAAAUGGCUGCUAAUACCGCAUAAGCCUGCUGUGCCGCAUGGCACAGCAGGGAAAACCACGGUGGUACAGGAUGGGCCCGCGUCUGAUUAGUUAGUUGGCAGGGUAACGGCCUACCAAGACAACGAUCAGUAGCCGGCUUGAGAGAGUGGACGGCCACAUUGGGACUGAGACACGGCCCAGACUCCUGGCGGGAGGCAGCAGGUGGGGAAUAUUGCACAAUGGGGGAACCCUGAUGCAGCAAUGCCGCGUGGGUGAAGAAGCACUCCGGUGCGUAAAGCCCUGUCAGCAGGGAAGAAAAUGACAGUACCUGGACAAGAAGCCCCGGCUAACUACGUG
RNAcentral lists this ribosomal RNA (494 nucleotides) under uncultured Lachnospiraceae bacterium. Its description in RNAcentral is "bacterial SSU rRNA". It matches the Rfam family "Bacterial small subunit ribosomal RNA", at positions 15 to 507 of the family's 1533-position model. The record is from RNAcentral. Lineage: Bacteria; Bacillati; Bacillota; Clostridia; Lachnospirales; Lachnospiraceae.